Cordylochernes scorpioides is the source of this 103-nucleotide non-coding RNA. The record is from the annotation of a GenBank genome assembly. NCBI's taxonomy places the organism in Eukaryota, Metazoa, Arthropoda, Arachnida, Pseudoscorpiones, Chernetidae.
AAGGCCAUACCACGUUGAAAACACCGGUUUUCGUCCGAUCACCGAAGUUAAGCAACGUCGGGCCCGGUCAGUACUUGGGAGGGUGAUAACUUAUUGUUUGUUA